CACGUAGGGGGCAAGCGUUGUCCGGAUUUAUUGGGCGUAAAGAGCUCGUAGGCGGCUCAGUAAGUCAGGUGUGAAACCUCCAGGCUCAACCUGGAGACGCCACCUGAUACUGCUGUGGCUAGAGUCCGGUAGGGGAGCGUGGAAUUCCUAGUGUAGAGGUGAAAUUCGUAGAUAUUAGGAAGAACACCGUGGCGAAGGCGGCCCACUGGUCCGGUACUGACGCUGAGGUGCGAAAGCGUGGGGAGCAAACAGG
Molecule: ribosomal RNA, 253 nt
Filed under: uncultured bacterium
Lineage: Bacteria
Description: partial 16S ribosomal RNA
Rfam family: Bacterial small subunit ribosomal RNA
Source: RNAcentral